AGUGAACGCUGGCGGCAUGCCUAACACAUGCAAGUCGAACGACAGCACAGUAAGAGCUUGCUCUUACGGGUGGCGAGUGGCGGACGGGUGAGGAAUACAUCGGAUUCUUCUUUUACGUGGGGGAUAACGUAGGGAAACUUACGCUAAUACCGCAUAUGUCCUACGGGUGAAAGCAGGGGAUCUUCGGACUUUUCGCGAUUGAAUGAGCCGAUGUCGGAUUAGCUAGUUGGCUGGGUAAAGGCCCACCUAGGCGACGAUGCGUAGCUGAUCUGAGAGGAUGAUCGGCCACACUGGAACUGAGACACGGUCCAGACUCCUACGGGGGGCAGCAGUGGGGAAUCUUGAGAAAUGGGGGGAAGGCUGACGGAGCAAAACCGGGGGAGGGAUGAAGGGCUUCGGAUUGUAAAACCCUUUUGUUAGGGAAGAAAAAAAGGGUAAUUAACUCCGCGCGUAUUGACGGUACCCAAAAAAAAAGCCACGGCUAACUUCGUG
Molecule: ribosomal RNA, 492 nt
Filed under: uncultured bacterium
Lineage: Bacteria
Description: partial 16S ribosomal RNA
Rfam family: Bacterial small subunit ribosomal RNA
Source: RNAcentral